AUGGCGAUGAGGAUAAAGUACCUCUUGCAAGCACAUGGUGCAUGGGGUGUUAUUGAUCGUGAGCGCUCGUCCAAGGAGGUUGAUGAAAGCAAGGAGGAGCUAGCCAUGACAAUCAUGUCACAGUCAAUCGACGACGUGACGCUACUACGAGUUGCGGAAAAGGAGUCCACGUCUGAUGUAUGGGCGGCACUACGCUCUAUGCAUGUGGGUCUUGAGCGCGUCCAAGAGUCAUGGAUCCAGUCCUUGCGCCCUGAAUUUGAUAACCUCAAGAUGGCUGAUGGAGAGUCUAUGGAUGAUUUUUAA
RNAcentral lists this ribosomal RNA (303 nucleotides) under Triticum aestivum (bread wheat). RNAcentral's name for it is "partial small subunit ribosomal RNA". Lineage: Eukaryota; Viridiplantae; Streptophyta; Magnoliopsida; Poales; Poaceae. The record is from RNAcentral.